RNAcentral lists this non-coding RNA (25 nucleotides) under Mus musculus (house mouse). The record is from RNAcentral. Lineage: Eukaryota; Metazoa; Chordata; Mammalia; Rodentia; Muridae.
CACAGAGAUUGUGCCCCCCCCCCCA